AUUCAAGUAGCUUAAUAUAGAGUAUAGCACUGAAGAUGCUGGGGUGAUAUUUAUAUCUUUGGAUA
RNAcentral lists this transfer RNA (65 nucleotides) under Condylostylus luteicoxa. RNAcentral describes it as "tRNA-Phe". It matches the Rfam family "tRNA". From Rfam's summary of the family: Transfer RNA (tRNA) molecules are approximately 80 nucleotides in length. Their secondary structure includes four short double-helical elements and three loops (D, anti-codon, and T loops). Lineage: Eukaryota; Metazoa; Arthropoda; Insecta; Diptera; Dolichopodidae. The record is from RNAcentral.